CAUGGUCUAGUGGUAUGAUUCUCGCUUUGGGUGCGAGAUGUCCCGGGUUCAAUCCCCGGUUCGG
Transfer RNA from Caenorhabditis elegans, 64 nucleotides. Lineage: Eukaryota; Metazoa; Nematoda; Chromadorea; Rhabditida; Rhabditidae. The record is from Ensembl.